This is a non-coding RNA of Phasianus colchicus (ring-necked pheasant), 254 nucleotides long. Lineage: Eukaryota; Metazoa; Chordata; Aves; Galliformes; Phasianidae. The record is from RefSeq and is a predicted model, not a curated record.
UUGUUUUCUUGAGAGCAAGAAGGCAAAGCGGAAGUGAAGAAGUAAGAAUGGACAUCGUGAAAACAUCAGUGGGUCGUUUAUUACAAGAUGAAGAAAAUCCAGCAGAACUUUGUGGAGCACUGAGGGCAUAGCAAAAUAAUGGAUCGUCAGUACCAGAUGGAUCCUGUUCUGACUUCCUUGUCAGUACCAACUGGGGUACAAAUCAUCUCACUUGACAUCAAACCUGUAACUGUUAGGUGUGAAGUUAAGCUGGC